CCUACGGGAGGCAGCAGUGGGGGAUAUUGCACAAUGGGGGGAACCCUGAUGCAGCGACGCCGCGUGGGUGAAGAAGCGCCUCGGCGCGUAAAGCCCUGUCAGCAGGGGAGAAAAUGACGGUACCUGAAGAAGAAGCCCCGGCUAACUACGUGCCAGCAGCCGCGGUAAUACGUAGGGGGCAAGCGUUAUCCGGAUUUACGGGGUGUAAAGGGGGCGCAGACGGCGAUGCAAGCCAGGAGUGAAAGCCCGGGGCCCAACCCCGGGACUGCUCUUGGAACUGGGUGGCUGGAGUGCAGGAGGGGCAGGCGGAAUGCGUGGUGUAGCGGUGAAAUGCGUGGAUAUCAGGAGGAACACCGGUGGCGAAGGCGGCCUGCUGGACUGCAACUGACGUUGAGGCCCGAAAGCGUGGGGAGCGAACAGGAUUAGAUACCCGGGUAGUC
RNAcentral lists this ribosomal RNA (440 nucleotides) under uncultured bacterium. RNAcentral's name for it is "partial 16S ribosomal RNA". It matches the Rfam family "Bacterial small subunit ribosomal RNA", at positions 338 to 795 of the family's 1533-position model. The record is from RNAcentral.